CCUACGGGAGGCAGCAGUGAGGAAUAUUGGUCAAUGGCCGAGAGGCUGAACCAGCCAAGUCGCGUGAGGGAAGACGGCCCUACGGGUUGUAAACUUCUUUUGUCGGGGAGCAAAGCGAACCACGUGUGGUUCAUUGAGAGUACCCUAAGAAAAAGCAUCGGCUAACUCCGUGCCAGCAGCCGCGGUAAUACGGAGGCUGCGAGCGUUAUCCGGAUUUAUUGGGUUUAAAGGGAGCGCAGGCGGAGGUGCAAGUCAGCGGUAAAAUUGCGGGGCUCAACCCCGUACUGCCGUUGAAACUGCAUCCCUUGAGUGCGCGAGAGGUAUGCGGAAUGCGUGGUGUAGCGGUGAAAUGCAUAGAUAUCACGCAGAACUCCGAUUGCGAAGGCAGCAUACCGGCGCGCAACUGACGCUCAUGCACGAAAGCGUGGGUAUCGAACAGGAUUAGAUACCCGGGUAGUC
Molecule: ribosomal RNA, 459 nt
Filed under: uncultured bacterium
Lineage: Bacteria
Description: partial 16S ribosomal RNA
Rfam family: Bacterial small subunit ribosomal RNA
Source: RNAcentral